UUGUUGGUAAGGUAAAAGCUUACCAAGGCUUCGAUCAGUAGCUGGUCUGAGAGGACGACCAGCCACACUGGGACUGAGACACGGCCCAGACCCCUACGGGAGGCAGCAGUGGGGAAUUUUGGACAAUGGGGGCAACCCUGAUCCAGCCAUGCCGCGUGAGUGAAGAAGGCCUUCGGGUUGUAAAGCUCUUUCAGCCGGAACGAAACGGUUACGGAUAACACCCGUGACUACUGACGGUACCGGAAGAAGAAGCACCGGCUAACUACGUGCCAGCAGCCGCGGUAAUACGUAGGGUGCGAGCGUUAAUCGGAAUUACUGGGCGUAAAGCGUGCGCAGGUGGUUUUGUAAGUCAGAUGUGAAAGCCCCGGGCUCAACCUGGGAACUGCGUUUGAAACUACAAGACUAGAGUGUGGCAGAGGGGGGUGGAAUUCCGCGUGUAGCAGUGAAAUGCGUAGAGAUGUGGAGGAACACCGAUGGCGAAGGCAGCCCCCUGGGUCAACACUGACGCUCAGGCACGAAAGCAUGGGGAGCAAACAGGAUUAGAUACCCUGGUAGUCCAUGCCCUAAACGAUGUCAACUAGUUGUCGGGCCUUUACGGGCUUGGUAACGUAGCUAACGCGUGAAGUUGACCGCCUGGGGAGUACGAUCGCAAGAUUAAAACUCAAAUGAAUUGACGGGGACCCGCACAAGCGGUGGAUUAUGUGGAUUAAUUCGAUGCAACGCGAAAAACCUUACCUACCCUUGACAUGUAUCGAAGCCCGCAGAAAAGCGGGGGUGCCCGAAAGGGAACGAUAACACAGGUGCUGCAUGGCUGUCGUCAGCUCGUGUCGUGAGAUGUUGGGUUAAGUCCCGCAACGAGCGCAACCCUUGUCAUUAAUUGCCAUCAUUUAGUUGGGCACUUUAAUGAGACUGCCGG
This 916-nucleotide ribosomal RNA is filed under the name uncultured bacterium. RNAcentral describes it as "bacterial SSU rRNA". It matches the Rfam family "Bacterial small subunit ribosomal RNA", at positions 246 to 1155 of the family's 1533-position model. The record is from RNAcentral.